GGGCCGGGCAGCGCGGUCCGGGGCUCCCCCGCCGACCCCAUCCACCCCCGCCACCGGUAGGCUGGGGACAGCCGCCCUGGGCAGCCCCGCACACACCGGCUCCCGCCGAACCCGAGGAGGCUGCACACGCAGCACAGCGCGGGACCUGAGCAGAGCUGCAGGCACCAACUCCUGGAGGGCGGCACGGGAGCCACGCCCUGUGUUCGCCGGUGAAGAACACACAGGUGUCCUGUUUGGCUUUGAAAGGGCGCGGAGACUGACUGCAGGCUACCACCACUGUUGUCAUCCUCCUGUACUAUGUGGGGAAUUUGCAUCGGUAAGAUACAACAGGUAUGUUUUUCAAGCACCAAAAGAGGAAAUAAUGUCACCAUACACAGUAAAUGCUAUCUUCUCCUACUCUAACUGCACUGCCUGAAGGGUUUCAGAUCAUCUGUAAGCUCAAAGUUCUUAUGAUGAAGGAACAAAUCUCUGCUCUGAACUGUGUUAUCAUCUAAUACUUGAUGUUUACCAGACAACUCCUAAUUUGCUUCUUUGUUAAAGUGGCUAUGAAUGGAAAGGAAAAGUGGAUGAAAUCUUCAAGACUUGAAAUCCACAUAUCCACUCUUGUCCUUCUAAAUUCCUUUGACACUCAGUAGCCAAUGUCAGUAUGUCUGGAGGUGUGUGUGCAAGGAAGACACUGAGAAACACCCGGCAUUGGAGAGUAAUUCCUGUCUUUCAACUUUGACCACAUUCACAUUCCAACACGGACAAUUCCAACCAGUGAACGUGAAACACCUGGGAGAUCAGAGUCCUGUCACACAAAUGCAAUUUUGGGACUGUUCUCCCAAAAGCUGCAUUAUUGCUAGGUGCCUUAGUGGCAGUUCAGCAUGGAUGGAGCUCUAGGUGACCAUGUGGCAGAUACCCAAAGUCCAGGAACUGCACAGGACAGCAGCACGUGGCCAUUCAAACCUCAGGUGGCACUUGGAUGCCUUUGGUGCAUUUGGAAACAGGCUGAAACAGAUCCAAAUGCAUACUCCAACAAGUCUUGCAUUUCCCUCUAGUGGAAGGAGCCUCAAAGACUUCCUAGAAGGCCUAGGUAGAGACACAAGUCCUGCUGUCAGGGAUAUGAAGCAGUCUUGGCUCUACAAGCCUAAAGCUCUAGGAAGAUAAAUCCAUGGAUAACAGAACACAGAAACGGUGGAAGGAUCGGGACCUGAGGAUGCAAUGAAGUGUAGGGAGCAGCCCCCUAAUUAGAGGGACAUUAUUCAAGACCACCCUUUAAUAAAGACUGUGGUGUUUCCUCUCGGCUGGGAGUGCAAUCCCAACCAACUCAAAGUGCAAAGUGAACCAAGUGCUUUGCAGUACGGAAUAGACAUUUGGUAGCAACGCAAAUCCAGAGCCUUCUUUUCUGAAUGACCAGCAGACUGUUUUCCAGGGUCACCAUCCUGAACUUGAAUGUGCAAAAUGCCCACACAGCCUGCUCAAGCAUAGGCUGGGAAGUUCCUUUGACAAAAGGGUACUCCAAAGCCUAGUCCCACCUCAGCACAAGAGCUUCUUGUUGAACAAGCCCUGCAAAAAGAUUCUCUUGAAAAGGCAGAGGGAUGAAGGGGAAUGAAUGCAAUUCAUUCCAGGGAGGAAGGAAAGGCUUUGGAAUCAAGAGCUCUGCAAAAUGAUAACAAGGAGGCUGGGUAAGACAGUGGCUGUUUCAAAUACCUGAUUCCACAGGACAAGAGGAAAUGGCCUCAAGCUACAUCAGAGGAGGUUCAGGUUGGACAUCAGGAAAAAUUUCUUGACUGAAAAGUUUAAGCAUUGUAAUGGGCUGCCCAGGGAAGUGGUGGAAUCAGCAUUCCUGGAAGUUUUCAAGAAACAACUGGACAUGGCACUUAGUGCUAUGGUUUAGUUAACAAGGUGGUGUUCAGUCAAAGGUUCAACUUGAUCUUGGACAACUUUUCCAGCCUUAAAGACUCUAUGAUUGUCCUCUUCAGAGGAAAGGACCCCAGAUAGCUGGCCAGCCUAGUGAGCUGCUCAUGUGAUGCACUGGGAGAAAUCCCACUGGAAAGAGUAGGAGUGUAGGUGACAGAAAAGAUCACUGAUUUUUAGGAUAGGAUAGGCAGAGGCUACCUCAAAAGGAUAGCUACUUAUAGACAUGCAUCUGUACUGGAGUGAAGGAUUUUGUGGUAGGAAAAGUACAAUAAAAGUGUCUAAAAAGCAUGAAGCCACACAACAAGCAAGGUUUUUACCAUCCUCUGACAUUAGAAAUUGACUGAUCUUUCACUAUGAAAACUAUGGAAUCUCCUUGAAGUCAGGUAAGAGAAAUUAGGCAAGAAUAAAUUGAGUAGCAUAAACACUGCUGGCAGCAAGAAUACUUAUCUCAGCUUCCUCCUUGGUCCAGUAUGUUCAUAGAACUACGUAAUUAUUAUCUCAAAUGCUUAGUGUAAAUCAGGCUGCCCCUAAUUAGCACAGGCACUCUAUGUUAAACAAGUCCAGCACCAAUUAGGACAGAAGGAACAAGCGUCAACUCCCACGCUGUAGCAAGGUACAGAUGUGCUGGGCUUGCAGUGCAAUGCCCAUACAACCUUGCCCUACUAUAUUAGAUUGAAAAGGUGCCAUACCAUUGCUGUCACACAGCAAAGAAUUUGAUCUAAAAGAAAAUGCCACCUCUUUGUGCUUACAUCAGUUCACCAGCCAGGCACUGAAGGACACAAGACCACAAAAGUGUGAAAGAAUUUCAGUGUCAAACUUUCAGGGCUGUGCUGAACUGACUAAGCAGCUCCAGAAGCAGAGUAGGUGAGCACAUAAAGCUGACAUAGCAAUGGGAGCCCAGGCAGCUCAGUGCUGACAGAGGAAUGCUGAGCGACAUUAGAGUCACUGUAAGCUGAUACAGCCCAUAACGAGCCACGGCAGUGGAAGGGCACAGAGUAACUUCAGUGCAUUUCCUCCUUACUUUAAGCAGAUGGAUACAAGCCAGAAAAAUUUUCCCUAAAGCAGAGUAGUGUGUCUUCACUCACCAAUUCCGACUGCAGCAGGCACAAAAAUCCAGAAAGUCCACCUUGCACCAGUGACAGGGAAGGUAAAGAUGAGCUGUGUCACAGUGGGAAAGGGGCUGGAUCUGCACUGGGCUGAAUCCAAGGCAGCAAUCAGACACUGGCCAAGCAAAUGCUUGGCUGGUUGGGUAUCUAAGUGGCUGCAAGCCCAAAAGUCUAAAGAACACUGAGUACACAAACAAGCAACCCUGGAGCUUGGGUAGCUCCUCACCUACGAGCAAGCAGUUGCUGCUGUUUCUGAGAUGUGCAGCCUUCUCAAAGGCAACACAGGUACCUAAAGCACAGACCUGAGGGCAAACCUCAGUCUUUACAGUUAAAGAUGCCUUAGGCAAAAGAAGCAAUUCCAAAACACAGGAGCAGUAGCUGUGCAAUAAGCCAAGUGUCAAGUUACAAUUACUUUUCUUCUCAAUGUGUAAUAAAAAUGUCUGAAAUGCCAUACUCAGAGCAGACUGUCUGGUGGCCUAAAAAGCAUGUCCUCUGCAUAUCUCGCAAAAGAAACAAACUUUCUAGUCUCAUGACAGCUUGCAAGUACCCCCAGUUUUAUAACAGAACCAUGGGCUGACACAGGAAGAUAAAAAUUCUUUUAGUUUAAACGAACAUAGAAUUCCAGUGUCUUCUCACUUGCUGAAGGGGAAACACAUUUCAAAGUCCUGAACCAUACCUGCUCACAUCUGAACUGCUGACAAAUCUGCAUUGAGGAUAAGUCAGCUUCUCCACUAUAGAACUUAUUUGCAGUUUAUGUAUCAGAAAACAAGUUGUUCCUUGCUGUAAUGUGUCUAGCCUUUAUCACAGACAGAUCCAAGUAACAGGAUUGCUAUUGCUUCUUCCUUGGCAUGCCUUAAAAGAGCAAAGGCACCUUUCACUCCUCUAGAUCAGAGGCAGCUUAUGCAUUAGACCUUUUAAAAAAAAUAAAUCAAUAAUGUCAAAUACAAUUGCAGUCACAAAAUAACCUUGCAAACUGUGGAGUCAAUUAACAUUCCAACAUUAGAGCCAUCAGUAGAAUAACCCACUGGACAGCAGUAAUUCAUAACAUUUCUUGAAGACAUAAGCUGGAAGCACAAGUUCAAGAUUUUUGAACUGCUUAAGUCUAACUCAACUUUUCAGAAGCAAUUAUCUUCUAAUCUUCCUAACUGUUUCCCCAAACAUUCAGUAAGGAUUACAGACUUACAGUGAGUUUUUCAACAAUGGCUGCUUUGCCCUGGAACUGCUGUCCUUCCCACGUAAGGCAUGAUGCAUCAAUCUGGGGGAAAAAGAAAAAUGUCAAACUUAGGUAGCCCUUAAGCAACCCUGAUAAGAGACUUUAUGUAUUUAGCAGAAAUCUUCAGAAUCCAGGUAUUUGAAAACUACCUCAAAGAGACAUAGAAAGAAACCAGCAAAAUCAAUUGAAGAACUUUGGAACAAUCAACUAAAAAUUAAGUAGAACACAUUGCAUUUACAUAAGUCUACCAGCAAAAAGAAUUCCUGCCUUUGGAUAAAAGUCAGCUUUCAGAAAAAAAAUCUAAAGGAUAAAAAAAAUUCAAAAUUUUGCAGACAAAGUCAAGCAUGUGGAAAAAUAUAUAAAGAAAACUGACAACAUGGGUUACACCACCUGGGUAGUGCUUCAACUCACCCACCUCAAGCAAUUCAAAAGUGACUGGCCAGAUCCCUACCUGAACUAGAUGACAAAAGUCUUAAUUGACUUGGAUUACACCACUAAAGAUAAACUGAAUCUUGUGGUGGAAGUAGUGAUACAGAAAUACAAACCAAAUCUAAGCUCCCUGCUGCAUUCCUGCAUGCUAUAAUAUUUGUUUGCUCCCCCAGGGUCUCUGAAGGGAAAAAGCUCAUCAUUAAAAGCCCAUUUCUACAGAAUCCCCCCAAAAUUCUACAAAUUGUGACCUUGGUGCAUUUCAGCCAUACAAAACAGGGUGUUUUCUCCACAGUUCAGGAGCUGCACAAAACAACACACAUCAGUGACCUGCAUAAUAGUUCUCCCAGUUAUAUGUGCAUAGGACUCUUCAUUGAAUGAUGAAGGCAGAAAAACCCUCAAGGUGAAAAAAGCCAGGAGUUCACUGUGUGGAAGGGCUUAAAUCCAGGAACUUAAAUUAGUCUGUACUCAACACCACUUUGAACGUACUUGGUAAUAAAAUACAAACUACUAAGAGCCUCCAUACUUAGUGCUGUGGUUGGAACACAAACUGCUUGGUUUUCUUUCUCUCUAGGCUCUGUGCACAACUUCUUGGGCAAAGUCAACCAACAAUCUGGCAGGUAGCAAGUACACAAAAAUCCCAAGAGCAAAUGGUAUCAUGCUGCUGGAUACUGCUGAGGUAUAAGGAGGGGUGUCAGAGGGUAUUGAACCAUUUAGAUCCUCAAGAGCUUGCUGACACUUCAGCUCAUCUAGCAGAUGAAAAACCAGCCAGAAAAACAGGAUAUGCUGCUAGAAGACUUGUCAGCCUUGAACCUCUUGCUGCAACUCCUCAGCCACCCAGCAGCAUUCCUCACCAUCAGCAAUCAACUCCACACACAGAGCACUUUGCGUGCUCUGGAGGAAUCUUCCCCCAAAACUAAAAACUGAUGUUCCUUGGGUUUGUUAAUUACAGUUUUUAAUUCUGGUAUCCAAGUCUUCUUCAC
This is a long non-coding RNA of Haemorhous mexicanus (house finch), 5630 nucleotides long. RefSeq lists it as uncharacterized. The transcript has 2 exons. Lineage: Eukaryota; Metazoa; Chordata; Aves; Passeriformes; Fringillidae. The record is from RefSeq and is a predicted model, not a curated record.